UAGACAUCCCUGGAUAACUUGGUGGCUA
Molecule: non-coding RNA, 28 nt
Filed under: Rattus norvegicus (Norway rat)
Lineage: Eukaryota; Metazoa; Chordata; Mammalia; Rodentia; Muridae
Source: RNAcentral